UGGCUCAGCCAGUAGCACACAACACGGAGAAAGCUAUAGCCGGGAAUACAGGGGGAACCUUUUUCAUUUCGAGUUCACGGUACCACGUGGGUUUGAGGCUUGUGUUGCAGGAAGGAAGCUUAAGCCUGGUUUCAAGUUAAUUUGUUUGUGAUCAGAUUAUUCGAACUCUGUACACACAGGCGGCCACCGUGCACAUACACGUGAUCACCGUAUACACACAGGUGGCCACCUGUGUGUACAUACAUGUGAUCAUCGUGUACACACAGGUGGCCACCUGUGUGUACAUACAUGUGAUCAUCGUGUACACACAGGUGGCCACCGUGUACACCCAGGUGGCCACCGUGUACACACAGGUGGCCAUUGUGUGCAUACAUGUGAUCACCGUAUACACACAGGUGGCCACCGUGUACACACAGGUGGCCACCGUAUACACACAUGUGGCCACCGUGUACACACAGGUGGCCACCGUGUACACACAGGUAAUCACCGUAUACACACAGGUGAUCACCGUAUACACACAGGUGGCCAUUGUGUACAUACAUGUGAUCACCGUGUACACACAGGUUGUCAUAGGGCUCAUAAUAAAGCGGGUUUUUUUUUCUUGUUAGAUGGCAUCAGUAAAAAAUCGUCAUUAACCCACCAACAACCGACACAGUAAAUUAGUAAGGUUUGUCACUUAAACACAACGUGCCAAUUAGUUACUACUUCAGCACACCGGUGUGUUGGAGAGUAAACCCACAACACUUACAAUUUGACUGCGACGUUUCACUGGUGAUUACAACCAGCAUCAACAGGCAAUUUGCCUGAAGAAGCUGGUUGUAUUGGUUCAAGGCAUGCAAACUCUUGACUCUGUCUUUUUUUUGUCUUCACUCAAUGCUGGCCAACUGCCGAUCUUGCAGUUCACCAGCAUUGAUUCAAGCAAUCCGAGCUCUCGCUCUUGGGACACUGCUUGUCGAAAUUAGUCCAGAGUUUGCUAUGACAUGGAUAAUUAACAUCAAAAUUAAAAAGAAAAUGGAUCAAAAGCAAGCAAAAUUGUGCAAUGAAGUGUGGCGAGAUGCACGCUUGGAAUUAGG
This is a non-coding RNA of Petromyzon marinus (sea lamprey), 1073 nucleotides long. The record is from RefSeq and is a predicted model, not a curated record. NCBI's taxonomy places the organism in Eukaryota, Metazoa, Chordata, Hyperoartia, Petromyzontiformes, Petromyzontidae.